CAAUAGCGUAUAUUAAAGUUGUUGCAGUUAAAAAGCUCGUAGUUGGAUUUCAGGCAGGAGCGACCGGUCACACACUCUGUGUGUGAACUUGUGUUGUCUCUGGCCAUCCUUGGGGAGAUCCUGUUUGGCAUUAAGUUGUCGGGCAGGGGACAUCCAUCGUUUACUGUGAAAAAAUUAGAGUGUUUAAAGCAGGCUUAUGCCGUUGAAUAUAUUAGCAUGGAAUAAUAAGAUAGGACUUCGGAACUAUUUUGUUGGUUUGCGUUACGAAGUAAUGAUUAAUAGGGACAGUUGGGGGUAUUCGUAUUUCGUUGUCAGAGGUGAAAUUCUUGGAUUUCCGAAAGACGAACUACUGCGAAAGCAUUUACCAAGGAUGUUUUCAUUA
This 382-nucleotide ribosomal RNA is filed under the name uncultured eukaryote. RNAcentral describes it as "partial 18S ribosomal RNA". It matches the Rfam family "Eukaryotic small subunit ribosomal RNA", at positions 592 to 975 of the family's 1831-position model. The record is from RNAcentral.